UUUGUCUUCAUUUAGCAGCUGUCUUCUCUGGGGAAGCCAUUUUGUAGAAGUGUUUGUCACAGUGCAACAACUACCGGUUUGGGGAAAUUGCAGUUUGGAACGGGAACUCAGGUUAUGGUUACCCCAGACAUCCAGGACCCAAAACCAGCUGUGUACCAGCUAAGAGAUGCUCAGGCCAAGAACAGCACCAUCUGCCUGUUCACCGACUUUGGUUCCCACGUCAACAAGUCAGAGGACGUGCCACCUGGUGUGUUUGUCUCCAACAACACCGUGCUGGACAUGCGGUCUAUGGAUUCCAAGAGCAACGGGGCCAUUGCCUGGAGUAACCACAGUAGUUUGAACUGUAAAGACGCCUUCAGACAGAACGCCGCCUACCCCAGCUCAGAUGUUCCCUGUGAUGCCAAGUUGAUAGAGAAAAGCUUUGAAACAGAUAUGAACCUCAACUUUCAAAACCUGUCACUGAUGGGACUCCGAAUCCUGCUCCUGAAAGUGGCCGGAUUUAACCUGCUCAUGACGCUGCGGCUGUGGUCCAGUUGAGGUUUCCAGACUGAAGGAGGCUGAACUCCCAAGCUCCUUUCUCUUCAUCACCCCUCCUCGCCCUCUUCAAGUGGAAAAAGAGCCCGCCCACCUCCUAAAGAAGGCUCUGAGCAGCUCACAACCCCAUCAACUGGAUCUCCUGAAUCUGUGAUGGAGACCGCUGAAGAGCCGCUACUACCCCCACUUCCUCACUGCUGCCGCCCACUCAAGACAGGCAGGGGCUGCUGCUUCUCCUGGAUGUGAAGACCCUUCACACACACCCCUGCUCUCCCCCACCCCCACCCCUGCGACUGCAGUUCCUCGUGAAUGUUGUAAAGAGCAUGUUUUUGUUUUUGGUUCUUUUAAAGCAUCCAUAAAGAAAUACACAUUACUCUUUCCUCAAGAUGUAGAAAACUUAACUC
Molecule: non-coding RNA, 938 nt
Organism: Microtus oregoni (creeping vole)
Lineage: Eukaryota; Metazoa; Chordata; Mammalia; Rodentia; Cricetidae
Source: the annotation of a RefSeq genome assembly